Molecule: ribosomal RNA, 331 nt
Filed under: uncultured eukaryote
Lineage: Eukaryota
Description: partial 18S ribosomal RNA
Rfam family: Eukaryotic small subunit ribosomal RNA
Source: RNAcentral
CCCUUAGAUGUUCUGGGCCGCACGCGCGCUACACUGUUCGACGCAGCGAGUCUUAACCUUGACCGAAAGGUUUGGGUAAUCUUCAGCAAAGUCGAACGUGAUGGGGAUCGAUCAUUGCAAUUAUUGAUCGUGAACGAGGAAUUCCUAGUAAGUGCAAGUCAUCAGCUUGCGCUGAUUACGUCCCUGCCCUUUGUACACUCCGCCCGUCGCUACUACCGAUUGAAUGGUUUAGUGAGAUCUCUGGAUUGACGCUGGCUAGGGGGCGACCCUUGGCCAGACUGUUGAGAAACUGCUCAAACUUGAUCAUUUAGAGGAAGUAAAAGUCGUAACA